Molecule: ribosomal RNA, 273 nt
Filed under: Triticum aestivum (bread wheat)
Lineage: Eukaryota; Viridiplantae; Streptophyta; Magnoliopsida; Poales; Poaceae
Description: partial small subunit ribosomal RNA
Source: RNAcentral
AUGUGGCCUAUUUCUAAAAAACCUAGGCCAGAAGCUCCUGAUUAUGUUAAAGUUAGAAUGCGAGGCAGGCCCAAGAAAAAUGCUAGGAGGAGGGAAGACCAUGAGAAACUAGUUGGGAAAAAAAUGAGCAAACAUGGCAUUGUUAUUGUUUGUUCAAUGUGUGGCACUGCAGGCCACAACAAGUCUGGUUGCAACAAGAAUCCAGAAAGGGCAAGAAAAAAAUGCACAUCUUGUGAAGCUAGCCAACACUACAAAAAAAAGACACAUCCAUGA